UAAUACGUAGGUGGCAAGCGUUGUCCGGAUUUAUUGGGUUUAAAGGGUGCGUAGGCGGCCUCUUAAGUCAGCGGUGAAAUCCUUCAGCUUAACUGAAGACGUGCCAUUGAUACUGGGAGGCUUGAAUAUAGUUGAGGUGGGCGGAAUUGACGGUGUAGCGGUGAAAUGCAUAGAUAUCGUCAAGAACACCUAUUGCGAAGGCAGCUCACUAAGCUAUAAUUGACGCUGAGGCACGAAAGUGUGGGGAUCAAACAGG
This 256-nucleotide ribosomal RNA is filed under the name uncultured bacterium. RNAcentral's name for it is "partial 16S ribosomal RNA". It matches the Rfam family "Bacterial small subunit ribosomal RNA", at positions 521 to 776 of the family's 1533-position model. The record is from RNAcentral.